UCCCCAUCAGGAAGUCCACACAGAAGUGCA
RNAcentral lists this non-coding RNA (30 nucleotides) under Mus musculus (house mouse). Lineage: Eukaryota; Metazoa; Chordata; Mammalia; Rodentia; Muridae. The record is from RNAcentral.